Molecule: ribosomal RNA, 319 nt
Filed under: uncultured eukaryote
Lineage: Eukaryota
Description: partial 18S ribosomal RNA
Rfam family: Eukaryotic small subunit ribosomal RNA
Source: RNAcentral
UCCUUAGAUGUUCUGGGCAGCACGCGCGCUACAAUGGUCUUCGCAAACGGAUGCAUUCUCGAAGGAGAAUGCCAAUCUUGGAAUCUAUGCCUUGGUCGGGACAGUUGCUUGCAAUUUUUCGACUCGAACCAGGAAUUCCUUGUAAUCGUGAUUCAUCACAUCACGAUGAAUACGUCCCUGCCCUUUGUACACACCGCCCGUCGCUCCUACCGAUCGAAGAGUUAGGUGAAUUGUUUUGAUCGAUAAGAUUUGACUAUGGUCAACUCUCGUUGUGAAAUUCUGUGAAUCUGACUGUUUAGAGGGAGGAAAAGUCGUAACA